GCGUGGUGCUAAUAACGCCAAGGUCGCGGGUUCGAUCCCCGUACGGGCCACUUUCCUUUUCAUCAUUAAGACCCCAAUUGGUGUUGUUGACAAUUGCAUCGUGAUGAGGAACAUGAUUAUUUUCAGCAAAGACUAAAGUGUCAGUGAUCCAAUACAAUCCUGCAGUGAGAGAAAACAAGUAAAACAACACCGUG
Nerophis ophidion (straightnose pipefish) is the source of this 194-nucleotide long non-coding RNA. RefSeq lists it as uncharacterized. The transcript has 3 exons. The record is from RefSeq and is a predicted model, not a curated record. Lineage: Eukaryota; Metazoa; Chordata; Actinopteri; Syngnathiformes; Syngnathidae.